AUACGUAGGGAGCAAGCGUUAUCCGGAAUUAUUGGGUGUAAAGGGUGCGUAGACGGGAAAACAAGUUAGUUGUGAAAUCCCUCGGCUUAACUGAGGAACUGCAACUAAAACUAUUUUUCUUGAGUACAGGAGAGGAAAGCGGAAUUCCUAGUGUAGCGGUGAAAUGCGUAGAUAUUAGGAGGAACACCAGUGGCGAAGGCGGCUUUCUGGACUGCAACUGACGUUGAGGCACGAAAGUGUGGGGAGCAAACAGGAUUAGAUACCCUGGUAGUCCACACCGUAAACGAUGGAUACUAGGUGUAGGAGAUGAUUUCAUCAUCUGUGCCGAAAGCAAACGCAAUAAGUAUCCCACCUGGGGAGUACGGCCGCAAGGUUGAAACUCAAAGGAAUUGACGGGG
RNAcentral lists this ribosomal RNA (398 nucleotides) under uncultured bacterium. RNAcentral's name for it is "partial 16S ribosomal RNA". It matches the Rfam family "Bacterial small subunit ribosomal RNA", at positions 523 to 918 of the family's 1533-position model. The record is from RNAcentral.